CCAGCCAACUGCAGUCGAGAUUCCUACGGGAGGCAGCAGUGGGGAAUCUUGCACAAUGGAGGAAACUCUGAUGCAGCGAUGCCGCGUGAGUGAAGAAGGCCUUUGGGUUGUAAAGCUCUUUCGUCGGGGAAGAAAAUGACUGUACCCGAAUAAGAAGGUCCGGCUAACUUCGUGCCAGCAGCCGCGGUAAUACGAAGGGACCUAGCGUAGUUCGGAAUUACUGGGCUUAAAGAGUUCGUAGGUGGUUGAAAAAGUUGGUGGUGAAAUCCCAGAGCUUAACUCUGGAACUGCCAUCAAAACUUUUCAGCUAGAGUUUGAUAGAGGAAAGCAGAAUUUCUAGUGUAGAGGUGAAAUUCGUAGAUAUUAGAAAGAAUACCAAUUGCGAAGGCAGCUUUCUGGAUCAUUACUGACACUGAGGAACGAAAGCAUGGGUAGCGAAGAGGAUUAGAUACCCUCGUAGUCCAUGCCGUAAACGAUGUGUGUUAGACGUUGGAAAUUUAUUUUCAGUGUCGCAGCGAAAGCGAUAAACACACCGCCUGGGGAGUACGACCGCAAGGUUAAAACUCAAAGGAAUUGACGG
This 580-nucleotide ribosomal RNA is filed under the name uncultured Pelagibacterales bacterium. RNAcentral describes it as "bacterial SSU rRNA". It matches the Rfam family "Bacterial small subunit ribosomal RNA", at positions 318 to 916 of the family's 1533-position model. The record is from RNAcentral. Lineage: Bacteria; Pseudomonadati; Pseudomonadota; Alphaproteobacteria; Candidatus Pelagibacterales.